GCUGGGUGCGGUGGUGCAUGCCUGUAAUUCCAGUGACUCUGGAGGCUGAGGCAGGAGGAUUGCAAUUUCAAAGCUAGCCUCAGCAACUUAGUGAGACCCUGUCUCAA
This 107-nucleotide small RNA is filed under the name Marmota monax (woodchuck). The record is from RNAcentral. Lineage: Eukaryota; Metazoa; Chordata; Mammalia; Rodentia; Sciuridae.